GACGAACGCUGGCGGCGUGCUUAACACAUGCAAGUCGAACGGAAAGGCCCUGCUUUUGUGAGGUGCUCGAGUGGCGAACGGGUGAGUAACACGUGAGUAACCUGCCCUUGACUUUGGGAUAACUUCAGGAAACUGGGGCUAAUACCGGAUAGGAGCUCCUGCUGCAUGGUGGGGGUUGGAAAGUUUCGGCGGUUGGGGAUGGACUCGCGGCUUAUCAGCUUGUUGGUGGGGUAGUGGCUUACCAAGGCUUUGACGGGUAGCCGGCCUGAGAGGGUGACCGGCCACAUUGGGACUGAGAUACGGCCCAGACUCCUACGGGAGGCAGCAGUGGGGAAUAUUGCACAAUGGGCGGAAGCCUGAUGCAGCAACGCCGCGUGCGGGAUGACGGCCUUCGGGUUGUAAACCGCUUUCGCCUGUGGCGAAGCGUGAGUGACGGUAAUGGGUAAAGAAGCACCGGCUAACUACGUG
Molecule: ribosomal RNA, 468 nt
Filed under: uncultured bacterium
Lineage: Bacteria
Description: partial 16S ribosomal RNA
Rfam family: Bacterial small subunit ribosomal RNA
Source: RNAcentral